Molecule: ribosomal RNA, 253 nt
Filed under: uncultured bacterium
Lineage: Bacteria
Description: partial 16S ribosomal RNA
Rfam family: Bacterial small subunit ribosomal RNA
Source: RNAcentral
UACAUAGGGUGCAAGCGUUGUCCGGAAUUAUUGGGCGUAAAGAGCUCGUAGGUCGUUUGUUACGUCGGAUGUGAAAACCUGAGGCUCAACCUCAGGCCUGCAUUCGAUACGGGCAAACUAGAGUUUGGUAGGGGAGACUGGAAUUCCUGGUGUAGCGGUGGAAUGCGCAGAUAUCAGGAGGAACACCAAUGGCGAAGGCAGGUCUCUGGGCCAUUACUGACACUGAGGAGCGAAAGCGUGGGGAGCGAACAGG